RNAcentral lists this ribosomal RNA (468 nucleotides) under uncultured bacterium. Its description in RNAcentral is "partial 16S ribosomal RNA". It matches the Rfam family "Bacterial small subunit ribosomal RNA", at positions 28 to 507 of the family's 1533-position model. The record is from RNAcentral.
GACGAACGCUGGCGGCGUGCUUAACACAUGCAAGUCGAACGGAAAGGCCCUGCUUUUGUGGGGUGCUCGAGUGGCGAACGGGUGAGUAACACGCGAGUAACCUGCCCUUGACUUUGGGAUAACUUCAGGAAACUGGGGCUAAUACCGGAUAGGAGCUCCUGCUGCAUGGUGGGGGUUGGAAAGUUUCGGCGGUUGGGGAUGGACUCGCGGCUUAUCAGCUUGUUGGCGGGGUAGUGGCUUACCAAGGCUUUGACGGGUAGCCGGCCUGAGAGGGUGACCGGCCACAUUGGGACUGAGGUACGGCCCAGACUCCAACGGGAGGCAGCAGUGGGAAAUAUUGCAAAAUGGGCGGAAGCCUGAGGCAGCAACGCCGCGUGCGGGAUGACGGCCUUCGGGGUGGAAACCGCUUUCGCCUGUGACGAAGCGUGAGUGACGGUAAUGGGUAAAGAAGCACCGGCUAACUACGUG